UACAGAGGUGGCAAGCGUUGUUCGGAAUUACUGGGCGUAAAGAGCGCGCAGGCGGUCGUUCAAGUCGCGUGUGAAAGCCCCCGGCUCAACUGGGGAGGGUCACGCGAUACUGAUCGACUCGAAGGCAGGAGAGGGAAGUGGAAUUCCCGGUGUAGUGGUGAAAUGCGUAGAUAUCGGGAGGAACACCAGUGGCGAAGGCGACUUCCUGGCCUGUUCUUGACGCUGAGGCGCGAAAGCCAGGGGAGCAAACGGG
Molecule: ribosomal RNA, 253 nt
Filed under: uncultured bacterium
Lineage: Bacteria
Description: partial 16S ribosomal RNA
Rfam family: Bacterial small subunit ribosomal RNA
Source: RNAcentral